This 808-nucleotide unclassified non-coding RNA is filed under the name Zea mays. RNAcentral describes it as "misc RNA Zm00001eb344630". The record is from RNAcentral. Lineage: Eukaryota; Viridiplantae; Streptophyta; Magnoliopsida; Poales; Poaceae.
AUGGCACCAUCUACACUUAACCAACAUAGGUCGGUUGCAGCCCUACAUCACGUCCCUACAAAGUUUCCUUUCGUGUUAUUUGAUGACGUUGAGAGCGAUGACUUACCAAAAUUUAAGAGUAUCGUAGCCAGAAUCGUUGUUAAGUUCCCUAGACGUCAUGACAGCCAACAUUUUAUUCUACAAGACAUCACUGGGUCAAAAAUAGAAGCAAUUUCAUACCGCGCUAAUGUCCAAAGAUUUGACACCUUACUCCAACAAGGAUCUACAUAUACAUUAUAUGGAGUGGCGUUCUAUGUAAGCUGGGGGCCGUAUCUAUUUCGGAAUUUUGGACAUAGGCUAGAAUUGACCUUGGCAUCUCGGACUGUUGUGGAACCAUUCCACUUGCCAAUUCAGUUCCCGCCUUAUCCAAAACAUCUUAUGCCAUUUCAUGAGGUCCUCCAACAACCUCAUAAGAGGUUUAUAGAUGUAAUAGGAAUUGUCAUUCAUUUGGCGCCGUUAGAGCACAUCGGUGGAAGGCCGUACAGAGAGGCCAUACUAAUGGAUUCCAGGUGGGAUAUAAUCGUCGUGGGUAUAUGGCCUGAACUGUUGCAAAGAAAUGCUCUACGGUGGGUGUUAGCUAGAGAAAACAAGAGCAUAAUUAUCGGAACUAUGCUGCGUCGUAACAAGCUACACAGAUGCUUGCAAACCUCGGACCAUAGCACUGUUGAAUUCGAUCCAGAUCAUCACACCACACAACGGUUGCAGACAAUUCGGCGCUCCAUGAUCCAAAAUCCGAGGAGUGCUUUAAUCAACAAUUAUCUAGAGAGGA